AUGGUUCAAUCCUUCCUUGGAUGUCUGAGCGAAAUGGAAAAGUCCAGCUGGACCUGUGACUUCUUUACUCUCAGUAGAACUCAUCUCCUUCUGUGUUUCAGGGUGACUGAUCUGUCUGCUGUACAGCCAACAUACUCCAUCAGUGGUGAAGAUGUUGAACCACCAGGAGGAGCGGCACAAAUGCUCCGGGCAGAUCCACCUGGGAGCAGCUCAGGGUCCUCUGGCCUGACUUUGGAUAAACCGUUCACUGGAUGUUUCCUCAGUGUAUUUGAUUUAUUUUAAGAUACCAUACGAUAAAUGAAUCUUCUGUUUCCUCCAUUUGACGGUAUUGUACAGAUGUUUGAAACUCUGAAUAAAUGUGUGUAACUGGAUCAAUGACUCUGUUGCUGUAACUGAAAUAACCAAAAACAUGAGCCCAGUCAGUCCAGUGAGACGGGACUUGGUCCGUUUAACUGCCG
RNAcentral lists this long non-coding RNA (458 nucleotides) under Echeneis naucrates (live sharksucker). RNAcentral describes it as "lncRNA (ENSENLG00000002317.1)". Lineage: Eukaryota; Metazoa; Chordata; Actinopteri; Carangiformes; Echeneidae. The record is from RNAcentral.